RNAcentral lists this ribosomal RNA (849 nucleotides) under uncultured fungus. Its description in RNAcentral is "SSU rRNA". It matches the Rfam family "Eukaryotic small subunit ribosomal RNA", at positions 563 to 1461 of the family's 1831-position model. Lineage: Eukaryota; Fungi. The record is from RNAcentral.
UGUGCCAGCCGCCGCGGUAAUUCCAGCUCCAAUAGCGUAUAUUAAAGUUGUUGCAGUUAAAAAGCUCGUAGUUGAACCUUGGCUCUGGCUGGCCGGUCCGCCUCACCGCGAGUACUGGUCCGGCUGGAGCUUUCCUUCUGGGGAACCUCAUGGCCUUCACUGGCUGUGGGGGGAACCAGGACUUUUACUGUGAAAAAAUUAGAGUGUUCAAAGCAGGCCUUUGCUCGAAUACAUUAGCAUGGAAUAAUAGAAUAGGACGUGCGGUUUUAUUUUGUUGGUUUCUAGGACCGCCGUAAUGAUUAAUAGGGAUAGUCGGGGGCGUCAGUAUUCAGCUGUCAGAGGUGAAAUUCUUGGAUUUGCUGAAGACUAACUACUGCGAAAGCAUUCGCCAAGGAUGUUUUCAUUAAUCAGGGAACGAGAGUUAGGGGAUCGAAGACGAUCAGAUACCGUCGUAGUCUUAACCAUAAACUAUGCCGACUAGGGAUCGGACGGGAUUCUAUUAUGACCCGUUCGGCACCUUACGAGAAAUCAAAGUUUUUGGGUUCUGGGGGGAGUAUGGUCGCAAGGCUGAAACUUAAAGAAAUUGACGGAAGGGCACCACAAGGCGUGGAGCCUGCGGCUUAAUUUGACUCAACACGGGGAAACUCACCAGUCCAGACAAAAUAAAGAUUGACAGAUUGAGAGCUCUUUCUUGAUCUUUUGGAUGGUGGUGCAUGGCCGUUCUAGUUGGUGGAGUGAUUUGUCUGCUACUGCGAUACGACGAGACUCGCCCUAAUAGCCCGAUCGCAUUUGCGGCGCUGCUCUAGGGGACUAUCGGCUCAAGCGAUGAGUGCGCGGCAAUAACAAGGU